Clarias gariepinus (North African catfish) is the source of this 413-nucleotide long non-coding RNA. RefSeq lists it as uncharacterized. The transcript has 3 exons. NCBI's taxonomy places the organism in Eukaryota, Metazoa, Chordata, Actinopteri, Siluriformes, Clariidae. The record is from RefSeq and is a predicted model, not a curated record.
AACAGACAGUGAGUGUGACUGGAUACGUGGGACAGUCUGUCCUUCUGCCCUGCUCCUGCUCUCAACUACAAGCCAAACCACACACUCUCAGAUGGAUCUUUAUUAAAGGAUCUGAUUAUAAAGAAAUCUUCCCAAAGGACCAGACAAAUCGCUACACACACAGAGUUCAGCUCAUUAAUGAUCAUCAUCCAGGAAAUCUCUCUCUACUCAUAUCACACCUGACUGUAGGGAAUGGAGGAUAUUACAGGUGUCACAUCAGCAACAAUGAUUAUAAAGACGUCUCAGUCACAGUUAAAGAGGCCACAAGAAGACCUUCAACACCCAGACCAAAGACCAAACCCACUUCCACAGCAGUUCUUGUAGACGUCACACCUACAAAACCAACCCUGGUGGUCAAGAACAAAAUGACCACA